UCAGUUUCCUCCACAACCUUGAGUUUCUGAACCUUCAAUCGAAUCAUUUCACUGGACUAAUCCCAUCAAGUCUAGGCAACAUCACCCAACUAACGUAUCUCUACCUAGAUGACAAUCAGCUCGAAGGGAGCAUUCCUACAGAGCUUGGACAAUUAGCAAAGUUGUUUCAAUUGAGCCUAGGAAAGAACAAGCUAUCAGGCGCUUGGGUUGAACAAUAACAAGUUCCAUGGUCAAAUCCCUGCCUCUCUAGGUAAGACUACCAACCUCUCGAUAAUACAACUCCAAUCUAACUAUUUCACCGGUCCAGUUCCUAGUUCAUUGGGAAAUCUUCCCUACCUGUCAAAUCUAAUACUAGAUCAAAACAAGCUUCAAGCAAAUGACAGUAAGAGCUGGGAAUUCUUAGACCCGUUGAGCAACAGUAGUGAUCUGCAAGUGCUCUCAUUAUAUGACAAUCAGCUACAGGGAGCCAUACCAAAUUCAAUAGGAAAGCUGUCCCCCGGUCUUCAGUACCUAGCGUUAGACAAAAACAAUUUGUCCGGGACGGUUCCAGAGAGCAUUUGUAACCAUGAUGGAUUAUCUACUUUUUUUCUAUGUGAAAACAAUCUGGCUGGUCCAAUUGGAUCAUGGGUUGGAAAGUUACAUAAUUUGGUAAAAUUUGAUAUUUCAUACAACUACUUUAGUGGGUCGAUUCCAUCCUCCAUUGGAAGCUUUACCCAGUUAACAAAGCUCUACAUACAAAACAACAAAUUUGAUGGUUUCAUACCUCCCAGUUUGGGAAACCUACGGCUCUUGGUUUUGGACCUUAGUUACAACAAUCUUCAAGGUACCAUACCUAAUGAGAUCUUCCCUCCUAUGUCCCCAGUGACCAACUGUGUAUUGUCCAACAACAAUUUAGAAGGUCAGAUACCUCCGGAGGUUGGUAACCUUAGACAACUCAUAGAGCUGCAUCUUUCAUCAAACAGGAUAACUGGGGAAAUUCCUGAUAGUUUGGGCCAUUGUCAAGAGUUACAAGAAAUAAAGAUUGACCAGAACUUUCUCACAGGAAACAUUCCAAUGUCAUUGGGCAAUAUGAAGAGUUUGAGCAUGAUCCAUCUUUCCCAUAAUAACUUAUCAGGUGUCAUCCCUACACCUCUAGCCGAUCUCCAAUUUCUCACUCUGCUAGACUUAUCAUACAAUAAUCUCAAAGGAGAAAUACCAAUCAAUGGAGUAUUUGCAAAUGCAACUGUUUCACUCAACAGCAACUGGGGGCUUUGUGGAGGAGUGAAAGAUCUCCAUAUGCCUGCAUGCAUGCUCUGCAGUUUCUUGGAGAAUAAAAUGGAAAGUGUAUUUGACAAUCUUACUGAUUAUGAUAUUUGGUUUCAUGUCAUGCGCAAUGUCAGUUUAUGUUAUACUCCUUGUGAAGAAUAAAUCAAGAAGUCCAUACUUAAUGUUGCUUUCUUUUGGUAAGAAAUUCCCUAGAGUUUCUUACAAGGAUCUAGCUCAAGCUACAGGGAACUUUUUGGAGUCCAACCUUAUUGGGAGAGGAAGCUAUGGUUCAGUAUACAGAGGGAAAUUAACUCAA
Long non-coding RNA from Panicum virgatum (switchgrass), 1561 nucleotides. RefSeq lists it as uncharacterized. NCBI's taxonomy places the organism in Eukaryota, Viridiplantae, Streptophyta, Magnoliopsida, Poales, Poaceae. The transcript has 2 exons. The record is from RefSeq and is a predicted model, not a curated record.